UGGGGAAUAUUGGACAAUGGGGGCAACCCUGAUCCAGCAAUGCCGCGUGUGUGAAGAAGGUCUUCGGAUUGUAAAGCACUUUCGACGGGGACGACGAUGACGGUACCCGUAGAAGAAGCCCCGGCUAACUUCGUGCCAGCAGCCGCGGUAAUACGAAGGGGGCUAGCGUUGCUCGGAAUGACUGGGCGUAAAGGGCGUGUAGGCGGUUUACACAGUCAGAUGUGAAAUCCCCGGGCUUAACCUGGGAGCUGCAUUUGAUACGUGUAGACUAGAGUGUGAGAGAGGGUUGUGGAAUUCCCAGUGUAGAGGUGAAAUUCGUAGAUAUUGGGAAGAACACCGGUGGCGAAGGCGGCAACCUGGCUCAUGACUGAC
RNAcentral lists this ribosomal RNA (372 nucleotides) under uncultured bacterium. RNAcentral describes it as "partial 16S ribosomal RNA". It matches the Rfam family "Bacterial small subunit ribosomal RNA", at positions 355 to 744 of the family's 1533-position model. The record is from RNAcentral.